Molecule: ribosomal RNA, 253 nt
Filed under: uncultured bacterium
Lineage: Bacteria
Description: partial 16S ribosomal RNA
Rfam family: Bacterial small subunit ribosomal RNA
Source: RNAcentral
UACAGAGGUGGCAAGCGUUGUUCGGAAUUACUGGGCGUAAAGGGCGCGUAGGCGGUUCGUUAAGUCCUGUGUGAAAUCCCCCGGCUCAACUGGGGAACUGCACAGGAAACUAGCGGGCUUGAGUCCGGAAGAGGAGAGUGGAAUUCCUGGUGUAGCGGUGAAAUGCGCAGAUAUCAGGAAGAACACCCGUGGCGAAGGCGGCUCUCUGGGACGGUACUGACGCUGAGACGCGAAAGCGUGGGGAGCGAACAGG